UUUGAAGUAUCUAAAAAAUAAAUUUUGCAAUUUUUCUAUAUUAUUUGCCUAGUGAUCGAAGUGGUUCAAAAUCAACGACUGAAAAUAAAAAUCUUACAACAUAUGAUGAUAUGAUAUUAAAAUUUUAGAUCAAAGUUAUUGAUCUUGUUUUAUAUGGUAUAAAGAAUUUUCUAUCAAAAUUGUAUGUGAUUUGGAUAUUUCUGCACUGUUAAACUUGCAACCGGCUCACCACUGCCAUUAAAAUUAUUGAUUUUGAGCCCCUUCGAUCUCUAGGCAAAUGAUAUCAAAAAAUCACAAAACUUAUUUUCUAGAUACUUCAAAUACUCUAGAUCAACUCUAAUGGAGCCGAUCGUCGAUUCGAAAGUCCGAACAUCAAAAACAACUUGGAAGUACGGAGGGCUCCGUGCUUCCAUAAGCAUACCAGCCCCCUAUAUAUAUAUAUAUAGUAGAGCUACUGUGCUAUUAGGAACACAGCAGUUCUUGUGCUCUAAACUUUCUAACUAUACAUCAAAUUUGAUAGAUGGUUAGGAUGAGAGAGAGAAGACAGAGAAGAAAAGAAAAAUUGAGACACUAAAUUUCUCCUCAAUUUCUCUUUUCUCUCUUAUUCUAACCAUCCAUCAAAAUUGAUGGAUGAUUAGAAAGUUAGGAGCACAAGAUUUGCUGUGCUCCUACUAGUAUAGUAGCUCUACUCUCUCUCUCUCUAUAUAUAUAGAGUCCGACUACCAUAUUAUUAGGGAUGCAAACGAGGCGGAUCCGGGAGCGUGAGCCCCGCCCCGCCUCUCGCCCCCUUCCCCCCAACUAGCAAAAUUCCGCCUCGCCUCCCACCUCGAGAAUCCGUGACGGGUUAAAAAAUACAUCCCAUAAUCCGUCUUGCCUCGUAACCCGCCUCCCACCAACGCCCCGAAUUCGCUCCCCCAACUAAUAUUUUUUAUGAAAUUAUAAUAUUAUUAAUAUUUUAUAAAAUAUAAAUUAAUAAUUUUUAAUAAUAUUAUAUAUAUAAUUAAUAAUAUCAAAUAUAAAAAUCAAAAAUACCAAUCAUAAUCCAAAACAAAAUUCAAAUGAUUCAAAUACAUUAGAAAUGAGAGUAGUAAUUUAUUUGUAUUUUGAACUUUUUUAUAAAUACAUUAUUUUUUAGAAAUAUUUUUAAAAAUAUAAAUAAUUUUCGGGGCGGAUUCGGGGUGGAUCAUGGCGGGGCGGAUUCGAGGUGGGUUAAAAUUUCUCCCGUUUCCUACCCCGAAUCCGUCUCGGAUCGUAAAAUUUACUCCGUUUCCCACCCUGAAUCCGUUUAUUUUCUCCCAUUUACUACCCUGUCGGGCGGAUCAGGGCGGGAGCUCCACCAACCUGGAUCCAUUUGCAUCCCUAUAUAUUAUCGAUAGUACCAAACUCUUGAUACUAUUGAGUUUUAUGCCAUUAGAUCUACAUUUUGAUCAUUUUCAUCCAUUAGAUUACACUAUUUAACUAGCCAUUCACUCAACUAUAGGGGACCGCCGGAGCUCCACCAACCCGGAUCCAUUUGCAUCCCUAUAUAUUAUCGAUAGUACCAAACUCUUGAUAUUAUUGAGUUUUCGGCCAUUAAAUCUACAUUUUGAUCAUUUUCAUCCAUUAGAUUACACUAUUUAACUAACCAUUCACUCAACUAUAGGGGACCGCUAUCAUCUUAACUGUACAUAUCUUUUUAUCCAAUGGCCGAAAACUCGAUAGUAUUAAGCACUUGGUACUAUCGAUAAUAUAGUAACAUAAUAUAUAUAUAUAUAUAUAUA
This 1760-nucleotide long non-coding RNA is filed under the name Ananas comosus (pineapple). Its description in RNAcentral is "long non-coding RNA (ACOM_LNC025220)". The record is from RNAcentral. Lineage: Eukaryota; Viridiplantae; Streptophyta; Magnoliopsida; Poales; Bromeliaceae.